ACUACUACUCUAAAGCCCCAUCCCCAUAUAUCGAUCUCUUCUUCUUCUCAUGCACUGAGCUGAUGAGUAGUCCACCAGUAGUUUCACAAAUUUCAAAGAUUGUUUGAUCAGUAGCUUUCUUUACUUCAAAUACACGCUAUAUACAUAUCUAAUCUUCUCUCUCUAGAUCUAUAUACAGCGGUGAAAAAGUUGGUGGUGCCAUUUUUUAGCCUAGAUAUUCAUUCAUCUUAAUUUCUCC
Molecule: long non-coding RNA, 238 nt
Filed under: Panax ginseng (ginseng)
Lineage: Eukaryota; Viridiplantae; Streptophyta; Magnoliopsida; Apiales; Araliaceae
Description: long non-coding RNA (PGIN_LNC012275)
Source: RNAcentral